CAUGCGGUGCGAGACCCUAGUUAGUCCUAUAGAUAAGAUAUAAUAGGGCUAAAACUCUUAACCUGGUUAUAACAUUUUGGGCAGCUGUUAGGUCCAAGAGGUUAAGAGAGUUAAGUGUGCUCGAUCGGGAUAGAGUAGUCCUAGGAUGGGUGACCUCUUGGAAAGUAGGGCAUCACAAUUGAUAUCAGAGCCAAAUACCAGCUAGAAAUGUGAGAUGAGCCUCACCUGAGUUAGAGUUAUACGGCGGAAAAAGCAAGACUCAUACUGUUGACAGUUGUGGGUAGAGCACAGCUCCCCCACAAUUAAUGUUGAUUAAAGCUAGCGAGAUGAGUCUUACAUCACCUGAUAUUUGUGCGUCUGAGCCUAAAGAAAACGUCAGGGCUUAAAGAGAAGAAGAAUGUGAGAUCUUAGAAAGUCCUAUAUAUAUAAGAUAUAAUAGGACUAAAAUUUUAAUCGGGAUAUAACAUUUUGGACGGUAAUUAGGUUCAAGAGGGUAAGAGAGUUAAACGUGCUAGGGUUAGAGUAGUUUUAGAAUAGAUGACCCCAUGAAAAGUGGGGCGUCAUAUG
RNAcentral lists this long non-coding RNA (567 nucleotides) under Ananas comosus (pineapple). Its description in RNAcentral is "long non-coding RNA (ACOM_LNC018052)". The record is from RNAcentral. Lineage: Eukaryota; Viridiplantae; Streptophyta; Magnoliopsida; Poales; Bromeliaceae.